RNAcentral lists this ribosomal RNA (448 nucleotides) under uncultured Spirochaeta sp. RNAcentral's name for it is "bacterial SSU rRNA". It matches the Rfam family "Bacterial small subunit ribosomal RNA", at positions 933 to 1382 of the family's 1533-position model. Lineage: Bacteria; Pseudomonadati; Spirochaetota; Spirochaetia; Spirochaetales; Spirochaetaceae. The record is from RNAcentral.
UGGAGCAUGUGGUUUAAUUCGAUGGUACGCGAGGAACCUUACCAGGGCUUGACAUACGUUGGAAGCGCAUCGAAAGGUGCGUGCCGCUUGCGGCCGGCGCACAGGUGCUGCAUGGCUGUCGUCAGCUCGUGCUGUGAAGUGUUGGGUUAAGUCCCGCAACGAGCGCAACCCCUGCUGCCUGUUGCCACCACGAGAGGUGGGGACUCAGGCGGGACCGCCGGUGACAAACCGGAGGAAGGUGGGGACGACGUCAAGUCCUCAUGGCCUUUAUGACCAGGGCUACACACGUACUACAAUGGCCGAUACAAAGGGCAGCGACACUGCGAGGUGAAGCCAAUCCCGUAAAAUCGGUCUCAGUCCGGAUUGGAGUCUGCAACUCGACUCCAUGAAGUUGGAAUCGCUAGUAAUCGUGGAUCAGCAUGCCACGGUGAAUACGUUCCCGGGCCUU